UUUCUGGAUUUAAACUGCACGUUAAUCACAACCCUAAAUAUGCUGCAAAAACAAACGGCUGAGAGCAUUUCACCCACACGAAUGAACUGCUGCUCCGCCCAUUUAAACGAAGUGAAAGUCGAGAAGUGACCCAGGAUGACAUAAAUAAAUAUCAGGUUUGUGUGUCCGCACCCUUAGAGGAAUGUGACUGUGGACGUGGCGUGGCAGGAAAAUCCAAGACAAAGACAGACCGGGCUCCUCCACGUGGAGCCUGCCACGGAGCAAAACCCGCAGCGGGGACCAGAGUGGGGGAGGGCGCAGUGCUGCAGAGCGGGGCGGUGCGGGACGGGCCAGAGGUGUUUUUCAGAAAUGAACCUUUAACCUGCGGAAAUCAACGCGUUUCUCCUGUCAACACUCCAGCUAUGCAUUCAGGUCUGCUCAUGGGGUACCGGCUGGUCCCACCUGCUCUGUCCCUGUGUUUCCUCAUAAACCUGAGCCUGGCAGCACCGGGUCUCCCUGGGACUCAAAGG
This is a long non-coding RNA of Poecilia latipinna (sailfin molly), 509 nucleotides long. RefSeq lists it as uncharacterized. The record is from RefSeq and is a predicted model, not a curated record. NCBI's taxonomy places the organism in Eukaryota, Metazoa, Chordata, Actinopteri, Cyprinodontiformes, Poeciliidae. The transcript has 2 exons.